AAACCAACAGGGAUUGCCUCAGUAACGGCGAGUGAAGCGGCAAAAGCUCAAAUUUGAAAUCUGGCGUCUUUGGCGUCCGAGUUGUAAUUUGAAGAUGGCAACUUUGGGUCUGGUGCUUGUCUAAGUUCCUUGGAACAGGACGUCAUAGAGGGUGAGAAUCCCGUAUGAUGAGAGAGCCAGAUCUUUGUAAAGUGCCUUCGAAGAGUCGAGUUGUUUGGGAAUGCAGCUCUAAGUGGGUGGUAAAUUCCAUCUAAAGCUAAAUAUUGGCGAGAGACCGAUAGCGAACAAGUACAGUGAUGGAAAGAUGAAAAGAACUUUGAAAAGAGAGUGAAAAAGUACGUGAAAUUGUUGAAAGGGAAGGGUUUGAGAUCAGACAUGGUAUUUUGUACACCUUCUCUCUCGGGAGGGGGCCUCUGCAGUUUACUGGGCCAGCAUCAGUUUGGACGGUAGGAUAAUGAUUAAGGAAUGUGGCUCUUCUUCGGGAGAGUGUUAUAGCCUUGGUUGAUACUGCCUGUCUAGACUGAGGACCG
RNAcentral lists this ribosomal RNA (530 nucleotides) under Millerozyma koratensis. RNAcentral's name for it is "LSU rRNA". It matches the Rfam family "Eukaryotic large subunit ribosomal RNA", at positions 62 to 597 of the family's 3401-position model. The record is from RNAcentral. Lineage: Eukaryota; Fungi; Ascomycota; Pichiomycetes; Serinales; Debaryomycetaceae.